CUAAGCAUAUCAAUAAGCGGAGGAAAAGAAACCAACCGGGAUUGCCCUAGUAACGGCGAGUGAAGCGGCAAGAGCUCAAAUUUGAAAGCUGGCCCCCUCGGGGUCCGCAUUGUAAUUUGCAGAGGAUGCUUCGGGAGCGGUCCCCAUCUAAGUGCCCUGGAACGGGCCGUCAUAGAGGGUGAGAAUCCCGUAUGGGAUGGGGUGCCCGCGCCCGUGUGAAGCUCCUUCGACGAGUCGAGUUGUUUGGGAAUGCAGCUCUAAUUGGGUGGUAAAUUUCAUCUAAAGCUAAAUAUUGGCCGGAGACCGAUAGCGCACAAGUAGAGUGAUCGAAAGAUGAAAAGCACUUUGAAAAGAGAGUUAAACAGCACGUGAAAUUGUUGAAAGGGAAGCGCUUGCGAUCAGACUCGCCCACGGGGUUCAGCCGGCAUUCGUGCCGGUGUACUUCCCCGCGGGCGGGCCAGCGUCGGUUUGGGCGGUCGGUCAAAGGCCCCUGGAAUGUAACGCCUCUCGGGGCGUCUUAUAGCCAGGGGUGCCAUGCGACCUGCCCGGACCGAGGAACGCGCUUCGGCUCGGACGCUGGCAUAAUGGUCGUAAGCGACCCGUCUUGAAACACGGACCAAGGAGUCUAACAUCUACGCGAGUGUUCGGGUGUCAAACCCGUGCGCGCAGUGAAAGCGAACGGAGGUGGGAACCCUCACGGGUGCACCAUCGACCGAUCCUGAUGUCUUCGGAUGGAUUUGAGUAAGAGCGUAGCUGUUGGGACCCGAAAGAUGGUGAACUAUGCCUGAAUAGGGCGAAGCCAGAGGAAACUCUGGUGGAGGCUCGCAGCGGUUCUGACGUGCAAAUCGAUCGUCAAAUUUGAGUAUAGGGGCGAAAGACUAAUCGAACCAUCUAGUAGCUGGUUCCUGCCGAA
This 913-nucleotide ribosomal RNA is filed under the name Penicillium roseopurpureum. RNAcentral's name for it is "LSU rRNA". It matches the Rfam family "Eukaryotic large subunit ribosomal RNA", at positions 34 to 965 of the family's 3401-position model. The record is from RNAcentral. Lineage: Eukaryota; Fungi; Ascomycota; Eurotiomycetes; Eurotiales; Aspergillaceae.